UCAGGGGUUAGUUUAUAAUAAAAUAUUAACUUUGGGAGUUAAAGAUAGAAGAUAUUUUACCUCUGAA
RNAcentral lists this transfer RNA (67 nucleotides) under Umalia orientalis. Its description in RNAcentral is "tRNA-Pro". Lineage: Eukaryota; Metazoa; Arthropoda; Malacostraca; Decapoda; Raninidae. The record is from RNAcentral.